Molecule: ribosomal RNA, 2895 nt
Filed under: Clostridioides difficile
Lineage: Bacteria; Bacillati; Bacillota; Clostridia; Peptostreptococcales; Peptostreptococcaceae
Description: bacterial LSU rRNA
Rfam family: Bacterial large subunit ribosomal RNA
Source: RNAcentral
UCAAGUUAUUAAGGGUGCAGGGCGGAUGCCUUGGCACUAGGAGCCGAUGAAGGACGUGAUAAGCUGCGAUAAGCUUCGGGGAGUUGCACGUAAACUUUGAUCCGAAGAUUUCCGAAUGAGGAAACUCACUUAGAGUAAUGUCUAAGUAUCAUUAAGUGAAUACAUAGCUUAAUGAGGGGAACUCAGGGAACUGAAACAUCUAAGUACCUGAAGGAAGAGAAAGAAAUUCGAUUCCGUAAGUAGCGGCGAGCGAACGCGGAUUAGCCCAAACCAAUAAAGUUUUCUUUACUGGGGUUGCGGACAUAUCAUAACGAAGAGGUAUCGUAAUUGAAGAGGUUUGGAAAGACCCACCACAGAAGGUAAUAGUCCUGUAUGUUAAACGAGAAGACUUCAGAUAUGAUCCAGAGUACCACGGGACACGUGAAACCCUGUGGGAAGCAGGAGGGACCACCCUCCAAGGCUAAAUACUACCUAGUGACCGAUAGCGUAUAGUACCGUGAGGGAAAGGUGAAAAGAACCCCGGGAGGGGAGUGAAAUAGAACCUGAAACCCUGCACUUACAAGCUGUGGAAGCACAUUUCUUGUGUGACCGCGUACUUUUUGUAGAACGGGCCAACGAGUUACGUUAAGUAGCAAGGUUAAGCACUUAAGGUGCGGAGCCGUAGCGAAAGCGAGUUUUAACUGAGCGUUCAGUUACUUGACGUAGACCCGAAACCGGGCGACCUACCCAUGAGCAGGAUGAAGCGAAAGUAAAAUUUCGUGGAGGUCCGAACCCACGAGCGUUGAAAAGCUCGGGGAUGACUUGUGGGUAGCGGUGAAAUUCCAAUCGAGCCCGGAGAUAGCUGGUUCUCCCCGAAAUAGCUUUAGGGCUAGCCUCAAGGUGAGAGAUACGGAGGUAGAGCACUGAAUGUCCUAGGGGGUAUUGCACCUACCGAAGACUAUCAAACUCCGAAUGCCGUCAUCUUAUACUUGGGAGUCAGACUGUGGGUGAUAAGAUUCAUAGUCGAAAGGGCAACAGCCCAGAUCGUCAGCUAAGGUCCCUAAAUGUAAGUUAAGUGGUAAAGGAUGUGGGAUUGCACAGACAACCAGGAUGUUGGCUUAGAAGCAGCCACUCAUUCAAAGAGUGCGUAAUAGCUCACUGGUCGAGUGAUCCUGCGCCGAAGAUUUCCGGGGCUAAAACUUACUACCGAAGCUACGGCAUCAUUAUGAUGGGUAGGGGAGCUUCCCAUACGGGUUGAAGCAUGACCGUAAGGACAUGUGGACAGUAUGGGAGUGAGAAUGUUGGCAUGAGUAGCGAGAUGUGGGUGAGAAUCCCACAGGCCGUAAACCCAAGGUUUCCAGGGGAAGGUUCGUCCGCCCUGGGUUAGUCGGGACCUAAGCUGAGGCCGAAAGGCGUAGGUGAUGGACAACAGGUUGAUAUUCCUGUACUACCGAUAACCGUUUGAGAGAAGGGAUGACACAGUAGGAUAAGCUAAGCACACUGUUGGUUAUGUGUGCCCAAGCAUUGAGGCAGUCAAAGUAGGCAAAUCCGCUUUGAUAAUGCUGGGAUGUGAUGGGGAGCGAAAUUUAGUAGCGAAGUAGCUGAUUUCACACUGUCAAGAAAAGUCUCUAUCGAGGUUAAAGGUACCCGUACCGCAAACCGACACAGGUGGGUGAGGAGAGUAUCCUAAGGCCAGCGAGAGAACUGUUGUUAAGGAACUCGGCAAAAUGACCCCGUAACUUAGGGAUAAGGGGUGCCACCAUCCGGUGGCCGCAGAGAAUAGGCCCAAGCGACUGUUUACCAAAAACAUAGGUUUCUGCUAAGUCGCAAGACGAUGUAUAGGAGCUGACGCCUGCCCGGUGCUGGAAGGUUAAGGGGAUCUGUUAGAGCAAUCGAAGCAGUGAACUUAAGCCCCAGUAAACGGCGGCCGUAACUAUAACGGUCCUAAGGUAGCGAAAUUCCUUGUCGGGUAAGUUCCGACCCGCACGAAAGGCGUAACGAUUUGGGCACUGUCUCAACAACAGACUCGGUGAAAUUGUAAUUCCGGUGAAGAUGCCGGAUACCUGCGACAGGACGGAAAGACCCCAUGGAGCUUUACUGUAGCUUGACAUUGGGUCUUGGUACUACAUGUACAGGAUAGGUGGGAGGCUUUGAAACCAGGACGCCAGUUUUGGCGGAGCCAUCCUUGGGAUACCACCCUUGUAGUACUGGGACUCUAACCAUAGGCCAUGAAUCUGGUCUUGGGACACUGUCAGGUGGGCAGUUUGACUGGGGCGGUCGCCUCCCAAAAGGUAACGGAGGCGCUCAAAGGUUCUCUCAGUACGGUCGGAAAUCGUACGUAGAGUGUAAAGGCAAAAGAGAGCUUGAUUGCAAGACAUACAGGUCGAGCAAGGAUGAAAAUCGGACUUAGUGAUCCGGUGGUUCUGCGUGGAAGGGCCAUCGCUCAACGGAUAAAAGCUACCCUGGGGAUAACAGGCUUAUCUCCCCCAAGAGUCCACAUCGACGGGGAGGUUUGGCACCUCGAUGUCGGCUCAUCACAUCCUGGGGCUGUAGUAGGUCCCAAGGGUUGGGCUGUUCGCCCAUUAAAGUGGUACGCGAGCUGGGUUCAGAACGUCGUGAGACAGUUCGGUCCCUAUCCGUCGCAGGCGUAGGAAAUUUGAGAAGACCUGUCCUUAGUACGAGAGGACCGGGAUGGACGUACCUCUGGUGUACCAGUUGUUCUGCCAAGGGCAUGGCUGGGUAGCUAUGUACGGAAUGGAUAAGCGCUGAAAGCAUCUAAGCGCGAAGCCAACUUCAAGAUAAGAUUUCCCACCGCAAGGGUAAGACCCCAGAAAGACUAUCUGGUUGAUAGGUCGAAGGUGUAAGUGCAGCAAUGUAUUUAGCUUAUCGAUACUAAUAGGUCGAGGACUUGACCAA